CGCUAGUCCACUUCCACUCCGUCGCUAGCUCUCGCCAUUUGUGGUGGGGGAAAGCGAGCUUCGAGCUCGCACUCACCAAACCAAGCUCACUCACCUCGUCCCGCUGACCAACCUCCCCGAAUCCCACCCAAAGAUCCAGUCUUUUCCACCCCCAAGAAGGUAAUUUCCACCCGCCGGCGAUGGGCGCCUGCGCGGUGCUCCUGGCCGCGCUCCUGCUGGCCCUGGCCGCGCAGUGGG
This 237-nucleotide long non-coding RNA is filed under the name Oryza brachyantha (malo sina). Its description in RNAcentral is "long non-coding RNA (OBRA_LNC002410)". Lineage: Eukaryota; Viridiplantae; Streptophyta; Magnoliopsida; Poales; Poaceae. The record is from RNAcentral.